Molecule: ribosomal RNA, 398 nt
Filed under: uncultured bacterium
Lineage: Bacteria
Description: partial 16S ribosomal RNA
Rfam family: Bacterial small subunit ribosomal RNA
Source: RNAcentral
GAAUCUUGCGCAAUGGGCGGAAGCCUGACGCAGCGACGCCGCGUGGGGGAUGAAGGCCUUCGGGUCGUAGACCCCUGUCUUGGGGGACGAAACAUGCCGGUACCCCAUGAGGAAGCCCCGGCUCACUCCGUCCCAGCAGCCGCGGUAAUACGUAGGGGGCGAGCGUUGUCCGGAAUCACUGGGCGUAAAGGGUGCGUAGGCGGCUUGUUAAGUCCCGUGUGAAGGGCUCCGGCUCAACCGGAGUAGGCCACGGGAAACUGGCAGGCUUGAGGGCUGGAGAGGAUGGCGGAAUUCCCGGUGUAGCGGUGAUAUGCGUAGAUAUCGGGAGGAACACCAGUGGCGAAGGCGGCCAUCUGGACGGUCCCUGACGCUGAGGCACGAAAGCCGGGGGAGCAAAC